This 1001-nucleotide ribosomal RNA is filed under the name Ligilactobacillus acidipiscis. RNAcentral describes it as "bacterial SSU rRNA". It matches the Rfam family "Bacterial small subunit ribosomal RNA", at positions 64 to 1042 of the family's 1533-position model. The record is from RNAcentral. Lineage: Bacteria; Bacillati; Bacillota; Bacilli; Lactobacillales; Lactobacillaceae.
UUGACUAAUGAGUGCUUGCACUCAGCGGUCAAAGUGCGAGUGGCGAACGGGUGAGUAACACGUGGGCAAUCUGCCCAAAAGUGGGGGAUAACACUUGGAAACAGGUGCUAAUACCGCAUCAACCGGCUGACCGCAUGGUCGGCCGGGCAAAGACGGCGUCAGCUGUCGCUUUUGGAUGAGCCCGCGGCGUAUUAACUAGUUGGUAAGGUAACGGCUUACCAAGGUGAUGAUACGUAGCCGAACUGAGAGGUUGAUCGGCCACAUUGGGACUGAGACACGGCCCAAACUCCUACGGGAGGCAGCAGUAGGGAAUCUUCCACAAUGGACGCAAGUCUGAUGGAGCAACGCCGCGUGUAUGAAGAAGGUCUUCGGAUCGUAAAAUACUGUUGUCAGAGAAGAACACGUGAUAGAGUAACUGCUAUGACGCUGACGGUAUCUGACCAGCAAGUCACGGCUAACUACGUGCCAGCAGCCGCGGUAAUACGUAGGUGGCAAGCGUUGUCCGGAUUUAUUGGGCGUAAAGGGAACGCAGGCGGUCUUUUAAGUCUGAUGUGAAAGCCUUCGGCUUAACCGGAGAAGUGCAUUGGAAACUGGAAGACUUGAGUGCAGAAGAGGAGAGUGGAACUCCAUGUGUAGCGGUGAAAUGCGUAGAUAUAUGGAAGAACACCAGUGGCGAAAGCGGCUCUCUGGUCUGUAACUGACGCUGAGGUUCGAAAGCGUGGGGAGCGAACAGGAUUAGAUACCCUGGUAGUCCACGCUGUAAACGAUGAAUGCUAGGUGUUGGAGGGUUUCCGCCCUUCGGUGCCGCAGCUAACGCACUAAGCAUUCCGCCUGGGGAGUACGAUCGCAAGAUUGAAACUCAAAGGAAUUGACGGGGGCCCGCACAAGCGGUGGAGCAUGUGGUUUAAUUCGAAGCAACGCGAAGAACCUUACCAGGUCUUGACAUCUUUUGACCAUCUGAGAGAUCAGAAUCUCCCUUCGGGGACAAAAUGACAGGUGGU